RNAcentral lists this transfer RNA (71 nucleotides) under Daphnia pulex (common water flea). RNAcentral describes it as "tRNA-Ala". It matches the Rfam family "tRNA". Rfam says of the family: Transfer RNA (tRNA) molecules are approximately 80 nucleotides in length. Their secondary structure includes four short double-helical elements and three loops (D, anti-codon, and T loops). Lineage: Eukaryota; Metazoa; Arthropoda; Branchiopoda; Diplostraca; Daphniidae. The record is from RNAcentral.
GCAUCGAUGGUUCAGUGGUAGAAUGUUCGCCAGGCACGCGGGCCGCCCGGGUUCGAUUCCCGGUCGAUGCA